AUUGAACGCUGGCGGCAGGCCUAACACAUGCAAGUCGGACGGUAGCACAGAGGAGCUUGCUCCUCGGGUGACGAGUGGCGGACGGGUGAGUAAUGUCUGGGGAUCUGCCCGAUAGAGGGGGAUAACCACUGGAAACGGUGGCUAAUACCGCAUAACGUCGCAAGACCAAAGAGGGGGACCUUCGGGCCUCUCACUAUCGGAUGAACCCAGAUGGGAUUAGCUAGUAGGCGGGGUAAUGGCCCACCUAGGCGACGAUCCCUAUCUGGUCUGAGAGGAUGCCCAGCCACACUGGAACUGAGACACGGGCCAGACGCCUACGGGAGGCAGCAGUGGGGAAUAUUGCACAAUGGGCGCAAGCCUGAUGCAGCCAUGCCGCGUGUAUGAAGAAGGCCUUCGGGUUGUAAAGUACUUUCAGCGGGGAGGAAGGCGAUAAGGUUAAUAACCUUGUCGAUUGACGUUACCCGCAGAAGAAGCACCGGCUAACUCCUUGCCAGCAGCCGCCGUAA
Molecule: ribosomal RNA, 506 nt
Filed under: uncultured bacterium
Lineage: Bacteria
Description: partial 16S ribosomal RNA
Rfam family: Bacterial small subunit ribosomal RNA
Source: RNAcentral